UCUCUGGUGGUCCAGUGGCUAAGACUCCGCACUCACAAUGCAGGAGGCCCAGGUUCAAUCCCUGGUCAGGGAA
This is a non-coding RNA of Mesoplodon densirostris (Blainville's beaked whale), 73 nucleotides long. Lineage: Eukaryota; Metazoa; Chordata; Mammalia; Artiodactyla; Ziphiidae. The record is from the annotation of a RefSeq genome assembly.